AGUGAACGCCCUCACGGGCUUUAUACUAUUCCAAACCUCUGUGAACCGUGCCCUUCGGGGCUAUUUUACAAACAUGGUGUAAUGAACGUCAUAUAUCAUAACAAAACA
Molecule: unclassified non-coding RNA, 108 nt
Filed under: soil metagenome
Description: partial internal transcribed spacer 1
Source: RNAcentral